UACGGAGGGCGCGAGCGUUAAUCGGAACUACUGGGCGUAAAGCGCGCGUAGGCUGUUGUGUAAGUUGGGGGUGAAAUCCCACGGCUCAACCGUGGAACAGCCCUUGAUACUGCGCGACUUGAAUCCGGGAGAGGGUGGCGGAAUUCCAGGUGUAGGAGUGAAAUCCGUAGACAUCUGGAGGAACAUCAGUGGCGAAGGCGGCCACCUGGACCGGUAUUGACGCUGAGGCGCGAAAGCGUGGGGAGCAAACAGG
This 253-nucleotide ribosomal RNA is filed under the name uncultured bacterium. Its description in RNAcentral is "partial 16S ribosomal RNA". It matches the Rfam family "Bacterial small subunit ribosomal RNA", at positions 524 to 776 of the family's 1533-position model. The record is from RNAcentral.